CGCGUAGGCGGAAGAUCAAGUCAGGGGUGAAAGGCCUGGGCUCAACCCGGGAACUGCCUUUGAAACUGAUUUUCUAGAGUACGGGAGAGGAUGGCGGAAUUCCCAGUGUAGAGGUGAAAUUCGUAGAUAUUGGGAAGAACACCAGUGGCGAAGGCGGCCAUCUGGCCCGGUACUGACGCUAAGGCGCGAAAGCGUGGGGAGCAAACAGGAUUAGAUACCCUGGUAGUCC
RNAcentral lists this ribosomal RNA (229 nucleotides) under uncultured bacterium. RNAcentral's name for it is "partial 16S ribosomal RNA". It matches the Rfam family "Bacterial small subunit ribosomal RNA", at positions 568 to 796 of the family's 1533-position model. The record is from RNAcentral.